GAGCACGUAGGUGGGUUUGUAAGUCAGAUGUGAAAGCCUUCUGUUCAACGGAAGAAUUGCAUCUGAAACUGCGAGUCUUGAGUGUAGGAGGGGAGAAUGAGACUUCUGGUGGAGCGGUGAAAUGCGUAGGUAUCAGAAGGAACGCCGGCGGCGAAAGCGAUUCUCUGGCCUAUUACUGACACUCAGUGUGCGAAAGCUAGGGGAGCAAACGGGAUUAGAUACCCCGGUAGUCCUAGCCGUAAACGAUGGGCACUAAGUAGAGGGG
This 265-nucleotide ribosomal RNA is filed under the name uncultured bacterium. Its description in RNAcentral is "partial 16S ribosomal RNA". It matches the Rfam family "Bacterial small subunit ribosomal RNA", at positions 565 to 828 of the family's 1533-position model. The record is from RNAcentral.